RNAcentral lists this ribosomal RNA (814 nucleotides) under uncultured fungus. RNAcentral describes it as "eukaryotic LSU rRNA". The stretch from base 212 to 366 matches the Rfam family "5.8S ribosomal RNA". The record is from RNAcentral. Lineage: Eukaryota; Fungi.
GGAAGGAUCAUUACCGAACUGUCGACACGAGUUGUUGCUGGUCCUCGACGGGGGCAUGUGCACGCUCUGUUCACACAUCCACUCACACCUGUGCACCCUCUGUAGUUCUGUGGCCUCGGGACUCUGUCCCCUUGCCGUGGUCCUACGUCUUUACACACACACUGUAAUGAAGUCUUAUGGAAUGUAUGUCGCGUCUAACGCAAUACAAUACAACUUUCAGCAACGGAUCUCUUGGCUCUCGCAUCGAUGAAGAACGCAGCGAAAUGCGAUAAGUAAUGUGAAUUGCAGAAUUCAGUGAAUCAUCGAAUCUUUGAACGCACCUUGCGCCCUUUGGCUAUUCUGAAGGGCAUGCCUGUUUGAGUAUCAUGAACAUCUCAACUCUCACGGUUCGCCGUGAUGAGCUUGGACUUUGGGGGUCUUGCCGGCCUGCGGGUUGGCUCCUCUCAAAUUGAUCAGCUUGCCAGUGUUUGGUGGCAUCACGUGUGUGAUAACUAUCUACGCUCGUGGUUCUCCGCCAGGUAACCUUCGGUGACGGAGGUUCGCUGGAGCUCACAAAYGUCUCUCCUCAGUGAGGACAGCUUUUUAACGUUUGAUCUCAAAUCAGGUAGGACUACCCGCUGAACUUAAGCAUAUCAUAAGCGGAGGAUAAGAAACUAACAAGGAUUCCCCUAUUACUGCUAGUGAAGCGGGAAGAUCUCAAAUUUAUAAUCUGGCGUGCCUCUGGCCGUCCGAGUUUGUAUUCUGGAGAAGCGUCUUCUGUGUUGGACCGUGUACAAGUCUCUUGCAACAGGCCGUCAUGACGGUGACAAAUUCC